AUGUUAUAUAAAAUGUACUUCCUUACAGUCAUGUAAAUAAUGGAGGCUGCUUUUUAGAAAGAUUCUGUGUUCCUGGAUAAUGAUUUUUGCAUUUCUUUCUUCUUCUGAAACUGGCAUUAGGUUAUGGUUUUUUUAUCUUCUGAUUCAUACAUCACUAGCUAGUUUGGCAGUAAGCCUUUCCGAUACUUUUUACUAGUGCUAAACAGAUUAACUUAUUAGAGAAAUAUCUUUUGUCUCUCAGUAUGAGAACAACAUUUAAAAUCUAAAGGGAAAAGUAGGAUGGGCAGGAUGAAGGGUAAAUGAAGAUCGAAUAAAGGCUCUAUGCUUUAAUGGAUCUGCAACCUUUAGGUAUGUUUUAACUUUAUAGUUCUUUGCCUGCAAUGUUUAUAGUCAAGGAAUAGAUUAUUCCAGCCAGAAGACAGGAUACUUAAGUCCAAAAAAAGAGCAAUAAAUUUGUUUUUGAAGCACUUAGUUGUCUUACAGAUCACCAUGUGGGAUUUGGCCAGUGGAAAACUUCUAAGAUCAAUAACAGAUGCUCAUCCUCCAGGAACAGCAAUAUUGCAUAUCAAGUUUACAGAUGAUCCAACUCUUGCAAUUUGCAACGACAGCGGAGGCUCUGUUUUUGAAUUGACAUUUAAGAGAGUGAUGGGAGUGAGAACCUGUGAAUC
This 668-nucleotide small RNA is filed under the name Pan troglodytes (chimpanzee). RNAcentral describes it as "retained intron". The record is from RNAcentral. Lineage: Eukaryota; Metazoa; Chordata; Mammalia; Primates; Hominidae.